Long non-coding RNA from Mustela lutreola (European mink), 1215 nucleotides. RefSeq lists it as uncharacterized. NCBI's taxonomy places the organism in Eukaryota, Metazoa, Chordata, Mammalia, Carnivora, Mustelidae. The transcript has 3 exons. The record is from RefSeq and is a predicted model, not a curated record.
UAUUACUAUUACAUUAAAGCCAACAUAGGCUGACCAACCCUGAUACAGAAAGGAAUAAAGAGAUGCAUUAAGAAGGGAAUACUUUAACUCAGGGAAAGGACAAGGCAGGCAGAGUCAACAGUAACCAAAUUCUUUAAUGGCAAGUGGCAAGGUUCAGCUACUGAAGAAACAGCAAGCCUUGCUAGAGUCUGACAGUUUAUUACUUACAGAGAGAGCAAAGGAAAGGCAAAUUGCCAUAAGUCUUGUCCCAAGGGAAGACACAAAAAGAAGGCAGGAUAGAUAAAAGAUACAAUAAUGUGACAUAAGGAGUGGGGCACCCUGGUGCUGAGCUGCUGAUUCUCUAUUGCAGCUAAGCAACUCUGUGGCCUGCAGCCACUCCCUAAAGGGACUCACAGUGGAAAGUCUCAUAAUUCAUCAAAAUCCAGAGGCAAUGACAAACUGUCUCACAUCCUCCUUGAAAGAUAGGGAGACAAACAUGAAGUGGCCCAUGGAAGCUCCUGCAUGCCCCAUACCCUUGAGUUCCAGAGAGAUCACAGGGCACUCAUUCUAAAGCUUAGGUUGGCCUGAAUCACACUUGGCCAAAGUAGAUAAAAAAACAAGGUCAUCAGGUGUCAGCAGAGCUGUUCCACCGUAGAAACCAGCUUGGCAAUUCUAGGAAUGGACAAAGGUCUGUGAUCUCAAGUGCAGUACACGGGCAAGUGGAAACCAGCUGAGGUUGGAGAAGCAGUCAGGAAUCAAAUCAUUUCAGGUUUCUUUGCCACGGUAGGGAACGUGAAUUUUAUCUGAAGUGUGACAGAUAUCAAGACACACUCCCUGACUCUGAAAGAAACACUGUGACACAGCUGAAGAACGCUGGAUCGGUUUCUGUGCUGGCUAGCUCAAUCACCAUGAAGAAGUUCACUUCUUAGAAAUGAUGAAGAGAAACUGCCAACUACUUCAGAGUUUCUAGUGUUACAACUAUAGUGUAAAUGGCUGACACCAAGCUUCUGAUGGUCUAGACAUCCGUAUCAAAGACAUCCUUCUCAAAUAAAAAUAUUGCCAGCUAUAUAACACACUACCAGCAAAACUAGAUAAGAAACCAGGCCACCCUGACCCAUUAAAGUCCCCUUUUAGAAAGUCCUAGUAACCUAGUAAAUCGCCACUCAAGUGACCCUACUUUUCCCUUCUCAUGCUCUAACUCCCAGUUAUGUUUUUAAUUCACCAAUAAAGAAUGAA